GACGAACGCUGGCGGCAUGCCUAACACAUGCAAGUCGAACGAUGCUUUCGGGCAUAGUGGCGCACGGGCGCGUAACGCGUGGGAAUCUGCCCUUAGGUUCGGAAUAACAGUUAGAAAUGACUGCUAAUACCGGAUGAUGACGUUAAGUCCAAAGAUUUAUCGCCUGAGGAUGAGCCCGCGUAGGAUUAGCUAGUUGGUGUGGUAAGAGCGCACCAAGGCGACGAUCCUUAGCUGGUCUGAGAGGAUGAUCAGCCACACUGGGACUGAGACACGGCCCAGACUCCUACGGGAGGCAGCAGUGGGGAAUAUUGGACAAUGGGCGCAAGCCUGAUCCAGCAAUGCCGCGUGAGUGAUGAAGGCCUUAGGGUUGUAAAGCUCUUUUACCCGUGAUGAUAAUGACAGUAGCGGGAGAAUAAGCCCCGGCUAACUCCGUGCCAGCCGCCGCAGUAA
RNAcentral lists this ribosomal RNA (450 nucleotides) under uncultured bacterium. RNAcentral describes it as "partial 16S ribosomal RNA". It matches the Rfam family "Bacterial small subunit ribosomal RNA", at positions 28 to 523 of the family's 1533-position model. The record is from RNAcentral.